This 427-nucleotide ribosomal RNA is filed under the name Haemaphysalis punctata. Its description in RNAcentral is "partial large subunit ribosomal RNA". Lineage: Eukaryota; Metazoa; Arthropoda; Arachnida; Ixodida; Ixodidae. The record is from RNAcentral.
UCUGCUCAAUGAUUUUUUAAAUUGCUGUGGUAUAUUGACUAUACAAAGGUAUUGUAAUAAGGCUUUAAUUGGGUGCUAAAAGAAUGGACUUUCAAAAAAAUUCUAUCUUAAAUUUAAAAAUUGAAGUUAUUUUUAUUUGUGAAGAAACAAUAAUUUAAAUUAGGGACAAGAAGACCCUAAGAAUUUUUAAAAUAUCAUGUAAAUAUUUUUAUAUAAUAUUUAUUAAUUGGGGCGAUUAAAAAAUAUUAAAAACUUUUCUUUUUAUUAAAAUGAUCCACUAUUAAUGAAUAAAUGAAUAAAAUACUCUAGGGAUAACAGCGUAAUAAUUUUGGAUAGUUCAUAUAGAAAAAAAAGUUUGCGACCUCGAUGUUGGAUUAGGAUUCUAAUUUAAUGAAGAUGUAAAGAAAGAAGUUGUCACCUCAUCCGG